Molecule: small nuclear RNA, 107 nt
Filed under: Castor canadensis (American beaver)
Lineage: Eukaryota; Metazoa; Chordata; Mammalia; Rodentia; Castoridae
Source: RNAcentral
UUGCUCACUUUGGCAACACAUAUGCUAAAAUUGAAAUGAUACAGAAAAGAUGAGUACAGCUCCUGUACAAGGAUAACACACAAACCCAUGAAAUGUUCAAAAAUAAA